This 714-nucleotide ribosomal RNA is filed under the name Triticum aestivum (bread wheat). Its description in RNAcentral is "partial small subunit ribosomal RNA". Lineage: Eukaryota; Viridiplantae; Streptophyta; Magnoliopsida; Poales; Poaceae. The record is from RNAcentral.
AUGAAGAAGUUUAUUCAGAACAGAGUUGCAUCUUGUUUGAUUUGUCAGCAAGCUAAACCAGAAAGGGUUUCUUAUCCUGGCUUACUAGCUCCUCUACCUGUUCCACCUAGAGCUUGGCAUACAGUUAGCAUGGAUUUUAUCUCUGGCUUGCCUCUCUUUGGUAAUGUUGAUUGUAUCUUGGUGGUAAUUGAUAAGUUCACCAAAUAUGGUCAUUUCUUACCUCUCAAGCACCCCUUUACAGCAAACAGAGUGGCUGAUAUUUUUCUGUACAAUAUCUACAAGUUGCAUAGUAUGCCCAAGUUUGUUGUCUCUGACAGGGAUCCUAUCUUCACUAGUUCGUUCUGGAAAACCUUCCUCUCCAAAACUGGGUGUCAACUGAAGAUGAGCUCUGCUUACCAUCCUGCUACGGAUGGUCAAACUGAACGUGUCAAUCAGCAGAUUGAAUGUUAUCUCCGAUGUUUCAUUAGUGCUCAUCCCAAGCAAUGGGCUAAGUGGCUUCCUAUGUGUGAGCUUUGGUAUAAUACCAAUUGGCAUUCUUCUCUGAAUAAAUCUCCAUUUGAGGUACUAUAUGGUCAUAGCCCUUACUACUUUGGAGUAUCUGCAUCAGAUACUAUUACUAUCACUGAUGUUCAACAAUGGUUGGAUGAGAGAAACGUUGUCAUUGAAUCAGUCCGGCAAUACUUACUGUGUGCUCAGAACCGCAUGAAAGUUUAG